RNAcentral lists this ribosomal RNA (497 nucleotides) under uncultured bacterium. RNAcentral describes it as "partial 16S ribosomal RNA". It matches the Rfam family "Bacterial small subunit ribosomal RNA", at positions 28 to 507 of the family's 1533-position model. The record is from RNAcentral.
GAUGAACGCUGGCGGCGUGCCUAAUACAUGCAAGUCGAGCGAACAGAUGAGGAGCUUGCUCCUCUGACGUUAGCGGCGGACGGGUGAGUAACACGUGGAUAACCUACCUAUAAGACUGGGAUAACUACGGGAAACCGGAGCUAAUACCGGAUAAUAUAUUGAACCGCAUUGUUCAAUAGUGAAAGACGGUUUUGCUGUCACUUAUAGAUGGUUCCGCGCCGCAUUAGCUAGUUGGUAAGGUAACGGCUUACCAAGGCAACGAUGCGUAGCCGACCUGAGAGGGUGAUCGGCCACACUGGAACUGAGACACGGUCCAGACUCCUACGGGAGGCAGCAGUAGGGAAUCUUCCGCAAUGGGCGAAAGCCUGACGGAGCAACGCCGCGUGAGUGAUGAAGGUCUUCGGAUCGUAAAACUCUGUUAUUAGGGAAGAACAAAUGUGUAAGUAACUAUGCACGUCUUGACGGUACCUAAUCAGAAAGCCACGGCUAACUACGUG